RNAcentral lists this ribosomal RNA (424 nucleotides) under Rhaebo guttatus group sp. ABGD cluster 2. Its description in RNAcentral is "partial large subunit ribosomal RNA". It matches the Rfam family "Bacterial large subunit ribosomal RNA", at positions 1834 to 2457 of the family's 2925-position model. The record is from RNAcentral. Lineage: Eukaryota; Metazoa; Chordata; Amphibia; Anura; Bufonidae.
CUUGACUAACCAUAGGAGGUCCAGCCUGCCCAGUGACUCUGUUCAACGGCCGCGGUAUCCUAACCGUGCGAAGGUAGCGUAAUCACUUGUUCUUUAAAUGAGGACUAGUAUGAAUGGCACCACGAGGGCUACACUGUCUCCUUUUUUUAAUCAGUGAACUUAAUCUUCCCGUGAAGAAGCGGGAAUAAACCUAUAAGACGAGAAGACCCUAUGGAGCUUAAAACAACAUAGCACUUGCCACAUAACACAAAAAUUUCUGAAUACCCUAAUUUUUCAAAGCAACAUGACUAUAAGUUUUUGGUUGGGGUGACCGCGGAGCAUAACACAACCUCCACGUUGAACGAACUUUAUUCUAAGCCACGAACCACUUUCCUAAGCAUCAAUACAUUGACAUUAAUUGACCCAAUAUAUUUGACCAACGAAC